UGAGUCACCACCAGCCUUCAGCUCAGAGC
RNAcentral lists this non-coding RNA (29 nucleotides) under Mus musculus (house mouse). Lineage: Eukaryota; Metazoa; Chordata; Mammalia; Rodentia; Muridae. The record is from RNAcentral.